This is a long non-coding RNA of Oncorhynchus nerka (sockeye salmon), 4117 nucleotides long. RefSeq lists it as uncharacterized. Lineage: Eukaryota; Metazoa; Chordata; Actinopteri; Salmoniformes; Salmonidae. The transcript is spliced from 4 exons. The record is from RefSeq and is a predicted model, not a curated record.
AUGUCAUGUUAUGGCCUCGUUCCAGGCUGACUACAAUGCAGUAGCCAGAUCUCACAAAACCUGGAUAGAUGUUAAACAUAUCGACUUACUGCAUGAGAUAAUCUAGCAAUAUAAAAGACAUGGUUACAAUCAAUCAAUCAGACAUUUAGGUCUAUCUGAGGGUUGACUUGUUGCAUAUAGCGUUUGUAGUGUUUGCAUGUGUAAGCUGACAGGUUUCAAACCUGGGUCAAAUAGAGACCUCAAUAUUGUAUUAGUCCACGAGUCACACGCAUGCACACACCCUUAGCCCAGCUGACACGGCUCCUCAUCAACAAGCGAGCCAAUUGAGGCCAACAUGACGUGGAGCCCUCCUCCCUCCUCUUCCCUGCUCUCCGCAGUAAAACAAUUAAGCUGUUUACUGGGUGAGGGAUAUCCGUCGAGCUACCCCGCAAAUUGGUCUCCAGUGAGGGGCCCAUUCCCCGGCAGUGCGGCCGGACAGCUGGAGGUGCUGGCGGAAGCCGAUGGACCAUCUGGAAAACGUAGCCGGAUCCCAAGGCUGACGACGAGUGAUGUAAGCAGUUCCCUCUCUUCUGCAGUGAUGUAAGCAGUUCCCUCUCUUCUGCAGUGAUGUAAGCAGUUCCCUCUCUUCUGCAGUGAUGUAAGCAGUUCCCUCUCUUCUGCAGUGAUGUAAGCAGUUCCCUCUCUUCUGCAGUGAUGUAAGCAGUUCCCUCUCUUCUGCAGUGAUGUAAGCGGUUCCCUCUCUUCUGCAGUGAUGUAAGCAGUUCCCUCUCUUCUGCAGUGAUGUAAGCAGUUCCCUCUCUUCUGCAGUGAUGUAAGCAGUUCCCUCUCUUCUGCAGUGAUGUAAGCAGUUCCCUCUCUUCUGCAGUGAUGUAAGCAGUUCCCUCUCUUCUGCAGUGAUGUAAGCAGUUCCCUCUCUUCUGCAGUGAUAGUUCAUCUACUUUAUACCAAUGGAUCUGUCGAGUGCUGGAGAUUUCAAGUUGAAGAUUCUUAGGCUGAGUCAUCGUUUCCACAUGUACAAUCAAGAGUUGACAACGGUACUGGUACUGUCACGUCAGUAUGAUACAGCGAGGACAGUGCUGAUCUUUCUUGACGCCAAGGCUGCCCGACCAUCCGCGGAUGUGGAGACCUUCAGAUGACAUGACAGGCGCUUAGCACGGCCUGCCUGCCAAAUCCUGCAUCAGUCAGAGAUCUGACUAGGAGCACAACACCCACACGAGUUGUCCUCAUCCACACAUCCAAUUACUCAAACUGAGAUGGCACAGCACCAUCAUCAAUGUGUUGAAUGAAAGUGAUAUGAAAUCAGCAAUUUGCCCAAAUGUUGAUCUCUUUCUUUCUCACAACAGGCAGGGGCAUGAGAAGUUGAAAAUGUUUAAGCUGCAAAGCUCCUACCACACCAUGUCAGAUUGAAGAUAAUUCAGAACAAGUAAAGACCAACUGUUGAAGAGCCUGCAGCUAUAAAGUGUGUUGCCAGUGCAUGUAACUGAAUGCAGAUAGUCUGUCAGAUGCUCAUUUCCCUCAUCGUCAAUUCAAGUCAAGAGAGUAUUGCAAGAGCUAAUGCUUCAUUCCUGUCAAGCCCUCUUAUUAAAUCAGCAGCUCACACAUUUUACAUUGACAUUUUAGUCAUUUAGCAGACACUCUUAUCCAGAGUGACUUACAGUGGCAAUUAGGGUUAAGUGUCUUGCUCAAGAGCUCAUCGGCAGAUUUUUAAGAAAUUUGGCUCAGAGAUUCCAGCCAGUAACCUUUCGUUUACCGUCCCAGUGCUGAGACGAGUCUUAUUCAAGUUCAUCAACUCUUUUAGUGCCUUCAGGCGCAAUUAUGAGAAACAAAACUGGUGCUGAGAGAAGAGACACACUUGAGUUAGGCUACUACAGGAUACUUCUUACGUAAUUGACCCUAAGCCCCGCCCCCCCUUGGUUACUGUUGCAACCUCGGACAACAAUUUCCCGGGAAACCCGAUUCCACCUUCGAAAUCCCUUCACAAUGAUCUCAAACAAUGUUUCUAAUACACAAUGAAAUUAAACACAGACGACCCCUCGGGGAACUCUCGGGUAUGUUGUGGUGAACGGUCAUUACAAUUGCUUCACAGGAACCUGGUAAAAUGAUGUUUAUAGUGUAGCUAGCCACUGUGAAUGGCUCGGAAUCAUCACUGUCAGCAUGGAGUCAAAGCUACUAACCACUCUUGGAGUUAAGGAUUACUCUCAGAACACAUACUGUUGUCAACAGCUUAUGGGGUUUGUAAUAAGAACAUGGCUAACAGCUAGCUAACAGACAUUUCUAGAAAACAAGUUAUAUUCAUUAAGGCUAGCUGCAUAGUGUUAGCAACAUUUGGUGGUUAAUGAGACUAAGAGCUAGCUAACCAGCUGAGCUAGCAAACAAUGUAACAAAAAUAUAAUUACAGAUUCAAAAUAUAUUCCAUCAACAGGCUCUGCCUUUCAGGGAUUACAUUAGCAGGUACCCCAGGUGUACUGUUCAAUUAUUUAAAGCUACAAUAUGUAACUUUUUGGGCAUAGAAAAGUGAGAUAUAGGUCUUUCAUUCCCGUUGAAAGCAGGUUUAAGAAGGGGUAGAUGUGUGCUAUUUCUAUGCUUCCCAUUAUUAAGUUUUGUUUGUGCAUCUUUUACUUUGGGUUUUGUACACCAGCUUCAAACAGCUGAAUAUACAAUAUUUUGGGUUGUAGAAAUUAUAUUAUACAGUGGUUUAGAUGGUACAAUGAUUCUCUACACAAUAACUGCUUGUUUUGGCACAUAAAAUAAAUUUAGGCCAACUAUUAGAAUUUUAGCAACCAGGAAAUGGCCGACGAAUUUCUGCAUAGUGCAUCUUUAACAAUUUAAACAAUGUAUAUAUAUAUUUUAAAAAAUGACCACUGCCCUCAUUGGCUUUCAUGUGUUUCACACAUGAGCUUGUCCAAGGUGUCGGACUCAACCACAGUUUCUAGCCAUUGGAGCGCUACGAUUGAUUCCUCAAAAUUCUGGGGAGGAGUUUGGCAAAGGAUACAUUUUACAGAGAAUAUGCGAUCAAAGUUUUCAUUGAUGGGAUUAUUGUUGAAGAUAGCAUAAAAUAGAAAAGCUUUGCAAAAUGUUUUACCACAGAAUGUUUUACUGAAGCAUGAUAGAAAUGAUUAUUUUCUGAAAAGAGUAAAAUUCUUUGCCACUAAUCUCAAAUAAUCAAAUAAUCCCACAAAUCAAAUAAUUUUAAAAAUAAGCAUAGCAAACUGUAUUGCAUGUGUGAAGAACUAACAUAGAAUCACACAUAUCCAUAAGUCACGUCGAGGUUGGAUCAGCCUUUUGCAAGCUCGACACACACACACACACACACACACACACACACACACACACACACACACACACACACACACACACACACACACACACACACACACACACACACACACACACACAAACAAAUACAUACACACACACACACACACACACACACAAGCACACACACACACACACACACACACACACACACACACACACACAACCAAAUACACACAGACAUACACUAAUUCAUUUGGGAGAAACCACAGCAAAUAAACCGCAGCAAAGACUUGACAUAAUGUUAUAAGCAGCCUCAGAAAACACUCCUACUACUCAGAGGGGGCAACUGUGCACUCCGUUCAAGAGGAACUGCAUGUUUUACCAGGCAUUUAUGGGUCCAAGUGAGAAUCCUUGUGGGACGUGGGGGUGGAAGGUGCGGGCCACUGGAGUGGCAGUCUGCCUAGGUUAGGUGUGUUUUAAAUAGCGAGACAGCGAAGUUACAAGUCUGGUACUGGCGAGGAAGUUGCGUUACACGGCAUUAAAAAGCCUUGCCAAUCAUUACUGUAUCAAAAAGGCAUUGGACUUUUCAACCCUUGUUUCUCUUAUUUUUAUACCAGUAGCCAACAUCUUCAAUAACUUCCACAAGUUUUUAAGAUGCUCCUAUUUCAUGGUAGGCUGAAGGAUGUUUACGAUUCCUUUUCGUGUAUUUAAAAUACAGCACUUGGGCUAAUCAAGAGGUUAUUAUAUUUCCCCCAUCAUUGUCAUUUAUACAUUGUAGUCCCUUGUGCUGUCUGUCUGUCUGUCUGUCUGUCUGUCUGUCUGUCUGUCUGUCUGUCUGUCUGUCUGUCUGUCUGUCUGU